AAGUCUUGUGCCUGUUUUUCUUUAAGCUCAUUAAGCUCAAUCUUAACAGCUUUUAUUUCUUCCUGGAGGCUUUGGACUGAAACAGUUGAUUGUUUUGAAGUCUUCUUUCUACCCAACAUGGCCGUAAGGUCAUAUGUGUUUUUUGCAAUAGAUGGCAGAAUAGAAGGUUUUUGUAUUGGUUGUUCUUCAAAGGUUUUUAAAAGUUUUCCUAAAAAUUCCUUUUGUAGUUGAGAAUCUUCAACCUGUGUAAGGAUUUCUAAGAGUAACUUCUGGUCUUUUGAAAGAACAUUGAU
This 293-nucleotide unclassified non-coding RNA is filed under the name Hevea brasiliensis (rubber tree). The record is from RNAcentral. Lineage: Eukaryota; Viridiplantae; Streptophyta; Magnoliopsida; Malpighiales; Euphorbiaceae.